This 127-nucleotide unclassified non-coding RNA is filed under the name soil metagenome. RNAcentral's name for it is "partial internal transcribed spacer 1". The record is from RNAcentral.
CGAAGUAGGGUCUGAAGACUCUUAAACCUACCGUGCUCCCCUACGUGGAAAACAGGAAAGCCUCCGGGGCAUAGGAAAUCUGAGAGUUGAGAACUGCGCCCCGGCGCAUGACUAAAACAAAAAAUUA